GUCUCUGAUAGCUCAACUGGUAAAGCUUUCGGUACGUAACUAAAUGAUCCGGGUUCGAAUCCCGGCUGGACU
This 72-nucleotide transfer RNA is filed under the name Cotesia glomerata. Its description in RNAcentral is "tRNA-Thr". The record is from RNAcentral. Lineage: Eukaryota; Metazoa; Arthropoda; Insecta; Hymenoptera; Braconidae.